Molecule: ribosomal RNA, 241 nt
Filed under: uncultured bacterium
Lineage: Bacteria
Description: partial 16S ribosomal RNA
Rfam family: Bacterial small subunit ribosomal RNA
Source: RNAcentral
AGCGUUGUUCGGAUUUACUGGGCGUAAAGGGCGCGUAGGCGGCAAUUCAAGUCAUCUGUGAAAUCUCUGGGCUUAACCCAGAACGGCCAGGUGAUACUGCUUUGCUAGAGUGCGGAAGGGGCAAUCGGAAUUCUUGGUGUAGCGGUGAAAUGCGUAGAUAUCAAGAGGAACACCUGAGGUGAAGACGGGUUGCUGGGCCGACACUGACGCUGACAGCGCGAAAGCCAGGGGAGCAAACGGG